AGUGAACGCUGGCGGUAGGCCUAAUACAUGCAAGUCGAACGGCAGCACAGUAAGAGUUUGCCCCUACUGUUGGCGAGGGGCGGGUGGGUGAGGCAUACAUAGGAUACCUCUUUUUCUUGGGGGACAACGUAGGGCAACUUAUGCUAAUGCCGCAUACUUUGUACGGGUGAAAUCAGGGGUGCUUCAGACUUUUCCUGUCUCAUAUAGCCGAUGCCGCAUUAGCUAGUUGGCGUGGUAAAGGCACACCAAGGCAACGAUCCGUAGCUGGUCUGAGAGGAUGAUCAGCCACACUGGAACUGAGACACGGUCCAGACUCCUACGGGAGGCAGCAGUGGGGAAUAUUGGACAAUGGGCGCAAGCCUGAUCCAGCAAUACCGCGUGAGUGAAGAAGGCCUUCGGGUUGUAAAGCCCUGUUGUUAGGGAAGAAAAGAAGCGGGUUAAUACCCCGCUGUUCUGACGGUACCCAAAGAGUAAGCACCGGCUAACUUCGUG
This 492-nucleotide ribosomal RNA is filed under the name uncultured bacterium. RNAcentral's name for it is "partial 16S ribosomal RNA". It matches the Rfam family "Bacterial small subunit ribosomal RNA", at positions 29 to 507 of the family's 1533-position model. The record is from RNAcentral.